AGAAUUUGAUUCUGGUUCAGAACGAACGUUGGCGGCGUGCCUAAUACAUGCAAGUCGAACGAGAAAUUUUGUAGCAAUACAAAAUAGUACAGUGGCGUAAGGGUGAGUAAUGUAUAGAUAACUUACCCCUGAGUUUGGGACAACCCCGCGAAAGCGGAGCUAAUACCAGAUAUGGUCAUGGUGUCGUAUGGCGUCAUGAUGAAAGAUGCUACGCAAGUGGUGUCACUUAGGGAGAGGUCUAUAUCCUAUCAGCUUGUUGGCGGGGUAAUGGCCCACCAAGGCUUUGACGGGUAGCCGGCCUUAGCGGGUGUACGGCCACACUGGAACUGAGACACUGUCCAGACUCCUACGGGAGGCAGCAGUAGGGAAUAUUGUGAAUGGGGGAAACCCUGACACAGCGACGCCGCGUGGAGGAUGAAGGCCUUCGGGUUGUAAACUCCUGUCAGAGGGGACGAAUUUAUCGUUUAAUAAACGAUAUUGACUUAACCUUCAAAGGAAGCACCCGCUAACUCCGUGCCAGCAGCGGCGGUAAUACGGAGGGUGCGAACGUUGUUCGGAUUUACUGGGCGUAAAGAGUUCGUAGGCGGUCGGGGUUAAUUAGACGUGAAAUCCUUCAGCUUACCUGGAGAAUUGCAUCUAAUAUUACCCGACUUGAGUGUGAAAAAGGAAAGUGGAAUUGUAGGUGGAGCGGUGAAAUGCGUAGAUAUCUACAGGAACACCGGAUGCGAAGGCGGCUUUCUGGUUCACUACUGACGCUGAGGAACGAAAGCUAGGGGAUCAAACAGGAUUAGAUACCCUGGUAGUCCUAGCCGUAAACGAUGGAUACUAAUCGUGGGCCACUUUUGAAAGUAGUCCGUGAUGUAGCUAACGCGUUAAGUAUCCCGCCUGGGGAGUACGGCCGCAAGGUUAAAACUCAAAGAAAUUGACGGGGGCUCGCACAAGCGGUGGAGCAUGUGGUUCAAUUCGAUCCACGCGAAGAACCUUACCAGGGUUUGACAUGCUGGUAGUAGGAGCGCGAAAGCGCAACGAGUCCCGUAAGGGAAAGCCAGCACAGGUGUUGCAUGGCUGUCGUCAGCUCGUGCCGUGAGGUGUCAGGUUAAGUCCUUUAACGAGCGAAACCCUUGUCCUUAGUUGCCCCGUAAGGGGCUCUCUAGGGAGACUGCCUCGGUAACGAGGAGGAAGGUGGGGAUGACGUCAAGUCAUCAUGGCCUUUAUGCCCUGGGCUACACACGUGCUACAAUGGUCGGUACAGAGGGUUGCCAAACUGCAAAGUGGAGCUAAUCCCAUAAAACCGACCCCAGUUCGGAUUGAGGGCUGAAAUUCGCCCUCAUGAAGUUGGAAUCGCUAGUAAUCGCGGAUCAGCUAUGCCGCGGUGAAUAUGUUCCCGAGCCUUGUACACACCGCCCGUCAAGCCAGCCAAGCGUGGGGUACCUGAAGUUAUAUGCUUAACCCGCAAGGGAGGGCACUACCCAAGGUAAAAUACGUGAGGAGGGCUAAGUCGGAACAAGGUA
Molecule: ribosomal RNA, 1511 nt
Filed under: metagenome
Description: bacterial SSU rRNA
Rfam family: Bacterial small subunit ribosomal RNA
Source: RNAcentral